RNAcentral lists this ribosomal RNA (200 nucleotides) under uncultured bacterium. RNAcentral's name for it is "partial 16S ribosomal RNA". It matches the Rfam family "Bacterial small subunit ribosomal RNA", at positions 328 to 539 of the family's 1533-position model. The record is from RNAcentral.
ACGCUCGACACCUACUGGAGGCAGCAGUUGGGAAUAUUGGACAAUGGAGGAAACUCUGAUCCAGUGACGCCGCGUGAAGGAAGAAGGUCUUCGGAUUGUAAACUUAUUUUGUCAGGGAAGAAAAAAUGACUGUACCUGAAGAAAAAGCACCGGCUAACUACGUGCCAGCAGCCGCGGUAAUCUGAGCGGGCUGGCAAGGC